RNAcentral lists this small RNA (153 nucleotides) under bovine gut metagenome. Its description in RNAcentral is "Clostridiales-1 RNA". It matches the Rfam family "Clostridiales-1 RNA". The record is from RNAcentral.
AUUACAGUGUCAAUAACUCAUGCCCCACGUCAGGCUUGCCUGUAAGUGGGGCAAUAAGUUAUUGACACGCCCCACAAUGAGCAUGAAGUGGUGUGAAACACCACGAGAAUGCGAAUUGUGGGGGAGGAUUGUGGAAGCUGCGAAGCAAUUCGU